RNAcentral lists this ribosomal RNA (440 nucleotides) under uncultured bacterium. RNAcentral describes it as "partial 16S ribosomal RNA". It matches the Rfam family "Bacterial small subunit ribosomal RNA", at positions 338 to 795 of the family's 1533-position model. The record is from RNAcentral.
CCUACGGGUGACAGCAGUGGGGAAUAUUGCACAAUGGGGGAAACCCUGAUGCAGCGACGCCGCGUGAGUGAAGAAGUAUUUCGGUACGUAAAGCUCUAUCAGCAGGGAAGAAAAUGACGGUACCUGACUCAGAAGCCCCGGCUAAAUCCGUGCCAGCAGCCGCGGUAAUACGUCGGGGGCACGCGUUCUCCGGAUUUACUGGGUGUAAAGGGAGCGUAGACGGCAGGGCAAGUCUGGAGUGAAAUCCCAUGGAUUAACCAUGGAACUGCUUUGGAAACUGGGCAGCUGGAGUGCAGGAGAGGUAAGCGGAAUUCCUGGUGUAGCGGUGAAAUGCGUAGAUAUUAGGAGGAACACCAGUGGCGAAGGCGGCCUGCUGGACAGAAACUGACGUUGAGGCUCGAAAGCGUGGGGAGCAAACAGGAUUAGAUACCCCAGUAGUC